This is a non-coding RNA of Delphinella strobiligena, 98 nucleotides long. The record is from the annotation of a GenBank genome assembly. NCBI's taxonomy places the organism in Eukaryota, Fungi, Ascomycota, Dothideomycetes, Dothideales, Dothioraceae.
UCCUCCGUGGCGCAAUUGGCUAGCGCGUUCGACUGUUAGUGCGAGUUCUCAUGCUCACUGCAAUCGAGAGGUUCCUAGUUCAAGCCUAGGCGGGGGAG